AUGGAGUAGCUGAUACCUUAAGAGGUUCACAGCUAUUCACUGAGUCCAUCCUGUCAAGGCUUCACAGGGCACAGCAGUUUAGUCUAUCCUGCCAUGGAGGUUUGUUAGGGAUGGUUUUCACCCACAUUUUACGAUGAAUAUUUAGAGGAUCAUGUGCCGCAAGCCACGACUCCAUCCAGCAGAGCCAAGGAAAGAUGACACAGACACCAAGGGAGACCGUUCUAAUCUGAGCACUAGCCAGCCUUUUCCAUCUGCAUUGCCUCCAUUUGUUCAUCAAGAACCAACCAGCAAAUUAGAACAUCAUUCCUCCAGUCUCAGAAUGUUGAGAGUAUCUCGUGACGCUCUGCCAGCAACUCUCAGACAUUUAACAGCAUCUUACUUUGUAGCCCUGGAUGGCAUUGGAACUUGCUGGACUAGGCUGGCCUGAAACUCAGAGAAGUCCGCCUGUCUCUGUCUCCGAAGUGCUGGGGUUAAAGCAUGUGUCACCACACCCAGCCCCUCUUCUUAAAUCCCCAACCUGCCUCUACCACUUGCCACCUCCCUCAUCAGAUAAUACUGCUUUCUACCUCAAAAUUGACCUCCUAAGUUCUUCUCUACAAGAAUAUUUGCACUCAUGCUUAUCCUUUUGAGCUUAAUUAAUUCUUUUUUUCUUCAAGUCAUAAAAAAUGCUCCUAUAAUAGAAGUGAGGGAAUUUCCUAUCAUCUGAAUGAUGUGUCUCCUUAAAAUUUUUGUGUUGGAAUCCUUACUCUUUGUGAUGACAUCAGGAGAUGGAGCCUUUCAUGUUAGUUAUAAAAAGUACCUCAAAGUGAUCCCUCCAACCAUGUGAACACAGCAUGAUGGGCACUGUCUAUGCAUAAGAGGCUCUUGACAAAUCCUUAUUCUACAGGCACCUUCAUCUAAGACUUUGCUGUUUCCUUUCUGUUGUGGGGACAUGAAUUAUAAGCUCUUUAAAUUCUGGACUAGAAAGGGCCUUUUUUUUAUUAAGUAUUUGUAGAGAUAAUACCACUGAACUAGAGCUUUGGAAGAAAAGAAAAAGAAUAUAUUUAGAAUGAAAAUAGAGAUUAUCUGUUGUCAGACCCUGUCUGGCCAGCUAACUCCAAGGAUUCACUAGUCUCUCCUUCCUCAGUGCAUGUGGAUGUCAGAGAACAGCUUUUGAAUGUUACUUCUCUCCUUCCACUGAGGAUUCUAGGGAUUGAACUCAGGUUGCCAGGCUUGCAUGGCAUGCACUCUUACCACUGACCCUUUGUUCAUAUUCUAUGCAAAUAGAAAUAAUUUGACCUUUUUGAUUUGUAUCCCUUUUAUUUCUCUUAUUGCUCUAGCUAAGACUUCAAGAAAUGUAUUGAAUCAGAGAGGAAAGAAUAGAUACUCUUAUGCUUUUUUCCCCCCAUCUAGAGGAAAUGUUGGCUUCUGUAUAGCCUUCAUUAUAUUGAGAUGUUUCUUCUAUUCCUUCUUUUCUCCAGUUGGGUAGAAUGUGCUAUAGAUGUCUCUUAAAGUACAUUUGAUGUUUUGUUUAUUUAACUGCUUUUUUUCCCCUGAUGACUUCACUAUUGCUGAGAGUUAAGUAACUCAUUACUGUUGUGUUGAGUUGUUAUUGUGUGAGAGUUACUAUAUAACUGUAUGUAUUAAUUCCUAUGAUUUUGGGGGGUUUUGGGGGGGUAAAGUUUGGGACUUAAUAACCCUCAUUUUCUUAAUCUACUUAUCUAGCAGAAUUAAAUUUUUUUCUAUGACCU
Molecule: RNA transcript, 1730 nt
Organism: Nannospalax galili (Upper Galilee mountains blind mole rat)
Lineage: Eukaryota; Metazoa; Chordata; Mammalia; Rodentia; Spalacidae
Gene name: Alstrom syndrome protein 1 homolog
Exons: 3
Source: RefSeq, a predicted model, not a curated record